RNAcentral lists this ribosomal RNA (436 nucleotides) under uncultured bacterium. Its description in RNAcentral is "bacterial SSU rRNA". It matches the Rfam family "Bacterial small subunit ribosomal RNA", at positions 28 to 507 of the family's 1533-position model. The record is from RNAcentral.
GAUGAACGCUGGCGGUAUGCCUUUCACAUGCAAGUCGUACGAGAGUUUUUAACUCAAGUGGCGGACGGGUGAGUAACGCGUGAGAAUCUGCCCUCAGGAGGGGGAUAACGGUUGGAAACGGCCGCUAAUACCCCAUAUGCCGCGAGGUGAAAUGAAUUUCGCCUGAGGAUGAGCUCGCGUCUGAUUAGCUAGUUGGUGUAGGUAAUGGCUCACCAAGGCAUCGAUCAGUAGCUGGUCUGAGAGGAUGAUCAGCCACACUGGGACUGAGACACGGCCCAGACUCCUACGGGAGGCAGCAGUGGGGAAUUUUCCGCAAUGGGCGAAAGCCUGACGGAGCAACGCCGCGUGAGGGAUGAAGGCCUCUGGGCUGUAAACCUCUUUUAUCAAGGAAGAAGAUCUGACGGUACUUGAUGAAUAAGCCACGGCUAAUUCCGUG